AACGAACGCUGGCGGCAGGCCUAACACAUGCAAGUCGAACGCCGUAGCAAUACGGAGUGGCAGACGGGUGAGUAACACGUGGGAACGUACCCUUCGGUUCGGAAUAACUCAGGGAAACUUGAGCUAAUACCGGAUACGUCCGAGAGGAGAAAGAUUUAUCGCCGAGGGAUCGGCCCCGCGUCUGAUUAGCUUGUUGGUGAGGUAACGGCUCACCAAGGCGACGAUCAGUAGCUGGUCNGAGAGGAUGAUCAGCCAGACUGGGACUGAGAACGGCCAGACUCCUACGGGAGGCAGCAGUAGGGAAUUUUCCACAAUGGACGAAAGUCUGAUGGAGCAACGCCGCGUGCAGGAUGAAGG
RNAcentral lists this ribosomal RNA (357 nucleotides) under uncultured bacterium. RNAcentral describes it as "bacterial SSU rRNA". It matches the Rfam family "Bacterial small subunit ribosomal RNA", at positions 29 to 414 of the family's 1533-position model. The record is from RNAcentral.